GACGAACGCUGGCGGCGUGCUUAACACAUGCAAGUCGAACGGAAAGGCCCUGCUUUUGUGGGGUGCUCGAGUGGCGAACGGGUGAGUAACACGUGAGUAACCUGCCCUUGACUUUGGGAUAACCUCAGGAAACUGGGGCUAAUACCGGAUAGGAGCUCCUGCUGCAUGGUGGGGGUUGGAAAGUUUCGGCGGUUGGGGAUGGACUCGCGGCUUAUCAGCUUGUUGGUGGGGUAGUGGCUUACCAAGGCCUUGACGGGUAGCCGGCCUGAGAGGGUGACCGGCCACAUUGGGACUGAGAUACGGCCCAGACUCCUACGGGAGGCAGCAGUGGGGAAUAUUGCACAAUGGGCGGAAGCCUGAUGCAGCAACGCCGCGUGCGGGAUGACGGCCUUCGGGCUGUAAACCGCUUUCGCCUGUGACGAAGCGUGAGUGACGGUAAUGGGUAAAGAAGCACCGGCUAACUACGUG
Molecule: ribosomal RNA, 468 nt
Filed under: uncultured bacterium
Lineage: Bacteria
Description: partial 16S ribosomal RNA
Rfam family: Bacterial small subunit ribosomal RNA
Source: RNAcentral